AUUGAACGCUGGCGGCAGGCCUAACACAUGCAAGUCGAGCGGAUGAAGGGAGCUUGCUCCUGGAUUCAGCGGCGGACGGGUGAGUAAUGCCUAGGAAUCUGCCUGGUAGUGGGGGAUAACGUCCGGAAACGGGCGCUAAUACCGCAAACGUCCUGAGGGAGAAAGUGGGGGAUCUUCGGACCUCACGCUAUCAGAUGAGCCUAGGUCGGAUUAGCUAGUUGGUGGGGUAAAGGCCUACCAAGGCGACGAUCCGUAACUGGUCUGAGAGGAUGAUCAGUGACAAUGGAACUGAGACGCGGUCCAGACUCCUACGGGGGGAAGCAGUGGGGAAUAUUAGACAAUGGGCGGAAGCAUGAUCCAGCCGUGCCGCGUGUGUGAAGAAGGUCUUCGGAUUGUAAAGCACUUUAAGUUGGGAGGAAGGGCAGUAAGUUAGUACCUUGCUGUUUUGACGUUACCAACAGAAUAAGCGCCGGCUAACUUCGUG
Molecule: ribosomal RNA, 484 nt
Filed under: uncultured bacterium
Lineage: Bacteria
Description: partial 16S ribosomal RNA
Rfam family: Bacterial small subunit ribosomal RNA
Source: RNAcentral